AUUGAACGCUGGCGGAAUGCUUUACACAUGCAAGUCGAACGGCAGCACGGGGGCAACCCUGGUGGCGAGUGGCGAACGGGUGAGUAAUACAUCGGAACGUGCCCAGUCGUGGGGGAUAACGUAGCGAAAGUUACGCUAAUACCGCAUACGAUCUACGGAUGAAAGCGGGGGACCGUAAGGCCUCGCGCGAUUGGAGCGGCCGAUGUCAGAUUAGGUAGUUGGUGAGGUAAAGGCUCACCAAGCCGACGAUCUGUAGCUGGUCUGAGAGGACGACCAGCCACACUCGGACUGAGACACGGCCCAGACUCCUACGGGAGGCAGCAGUGGGGAAUUUUGGACAAUGGGCGCAAGCCUGAUCCAGCCAUUCCGCGUGCAGGACGAAGGCCUUCGGGUUGUAAACUGCUUUUGUACGGAACGAAAAGGCUCUGGUUAAUACCUGGGGCUCAUGACGGUACCGUAAGAAUAAGCACCGGCUAACUACGUGCCAGCAGCCGCGGCAA
RNAcentral lists this ribosomal RNA (500 nucleotides) under uncultured bacterium. RNAcentral describes it as "partial 16S ribosomal RNA". It matches the Rfam family "Bacterial small subunit ribosomal RNA", at positions 30 to 523 of the family's 1533-position model. The record is from RNAcentral.